This is a long non-coding RNA of Labeo rohita (rohu), 644 nucleotides long. RefSeq lists it as uncharacterized. The record is from RefSeq and is a predicted model, not a curated record. Lineage: Eukaryota; Metazoa; Chordata; Actinopteri; Cypriniformes; Cyprinidae. The transcript is spliced from 4 exons.
CGCAAGUGGAUCAGGUACACCGACUGACCUAUUGUCAAGUUGGGACUUUUCCUGCUACCCAAGUUUAUAAAGAAUACCUGAACAAGUUGACCGCAACAGCAAGGACUAAUGAUAUGGAAACCAACAUCAGAGGUGGGAUAUUUGAGUGUCUGUGGAGGCCUCUGAGAAGAGUCUGGAGACUUCUGUGCUGCCAUGGACAUGAUGACAAUGAAAUAAAACUUUCAGAGGAAGAAAUAUCACCAUUUUUUAAUGGCCAUAGCUCCGUCCGUCCAUGGUGCAGCCCAAGUUGUUUUCAUCACUGAGAUGAUCAUUUUUGAUGAAUUGAUGAGCAGCCAAACAACAGAAUUCUUGGAGCAACAUUUAAAGCAUUUAAAAGACUUGGCAAAAUUGAUCUACUUCCUCUCAAGCUGUCUCCAAAGCAGAGGCACCGUUACUGAAUAAUGCGGUCCCAAUAUGAUGUGUAACUUUGUGCCUUACCACUACUGCCUAGUGCCUAUAAAUUCUCAGGAGACCAAACCCAUCGUCUUUUGGAGAUGUUGGCUGGUCAGACCUCAGGAAAUGUGUCUACCUCUUCUGCGCCAACUACCAAAGACAAUGUACUCUUCUUGUGUCAGGUCAAAUAGGCAGAAUAUUUGUCUAAAUUC